This 482-nucleotide long non-coding RNA is filed under the name Phoenix dactylifera (date palm). RNAcentral's name for it is "long non-coding RNA (PDAC_LNC006839)". Lineage: Eukaryota; Viridiplantae; Streptophyta; Magnoliopsida; Arecales; Arecaceae. The record is from RNAcentral.
GGGCUUUUAAUGGAGAGAAGUAUGGAUGUAUUUUUUGGCCCGAGGGAGAAGAAGAGAGUCCCCUGCCUAGAGCUCUUCCUCCUUUUUAUAGGAGGGGGUGUAGCGGUUACCUAUGAUCGGAUGUGAUUGUGCGAAUCAAUGAAUUACCAUAAACGGCCCGAGAUUUUGGGUUAGCUGGCGAUCCGUUGAGAUCGUGUGCAUUCAAAUGUUAACAGCCAUUGAGGUAGAGAUCGCGGGAUUUGAUUCCGGAUAUGGAGGACUUGAUUUUCGGUGUAGUGGGGAGGUCUACUUCUCCCUUUGAUUGGGUCUUUCUUGGCCGUGAGGUCGAUCGGGCUUAACUCUGCCGAGACCAUGCCUGCCAAGGUCAUACCGAGAUCGAGGUCGUGAGCUCUAUAGUCGUCAAUGCCGAGACCAAGCGCUCUGAGGUCGGGCGCUCGGAGGUCGUGACUGCUGAGAAUAUGCUUGAUGUCGUCAUGUUCGUC